Molecule: small nucleolar RNA, 109 nt
Filed under: Sorghum bicolor (sorghum)
Lineage: Eukaryota; Viridiplantae; Streptophyta; Magnoliopsida; Poales; Poaceae
Source: RNAcentral
CCGCAUGAGUUGCAGCCUGCUGUAUAUAUGGACAAACAAUAAAUGUGAUGGAAUUUAGGUGAGCAUCAUGUGAGAGUCGUAGAUGCUCUUAAAGGACCAUUGCACAUAC